This 514-nucleotide ribosomal RNA is filed under the name uncultured bacterium. RNAcentral's name for it is "bacterial SSU rRNA". It matches the Rfam family "Bacterial small subunit ribosomal RNA", at positions 28 to 546 of the family's 1533-position model. The record is from RNAcentral.
GACGAACGCUGGCGGCGUGCCUAACACAUGCAAGUCGAACGGGACCGGGGGCAACUCCGGUUCAGUGGCGGACGGGUGCGUAACACGUGAGGAACAUGACCUUCGGCGGGGGAGUAGCCGGCCCAACGGCCGGGUAAUACCGCGUACGACCAUUCGGGGACAUCCCUGGAUGGUGAAAGCAGCAAUGCGCCGAUGGAGUGCCUCGCGGCCUAUCAGCUAGUUGGUGGGGUAACGGCCUACCAAGGCGACGACGGGUAGCUGGUCUGAGAGGAUGGCCAGCCACAUUGGGACUGAGACACGGCCCAGACUCCUACGGGAGGCAGCAGUGGGGAAUAUUGCGCAAUGGACGAAAGUCUGACGCAGCGACGCCGCGUGUGGGAUGACGGUCUUCGGAUUGUAAACCACUGUCGGGAGGGACGAAUACGCCGCAAGGCGGGUGACGGUACCUCCAAGGGAAGCACCGGCUAACUCCGUGCCAGCAGCCGCGGUAAUACGGAGGGUGCGAGCGUUGUCC